GUCGAUCCAAGGCCUCUUCUGCUCGAGCCUCCUCACGUCCUGUUCCAAAUUAUAAUUAAAUUCCCAACCAAAAAUCCAAUAUUUAUACAAAAUAGGCGAAAUUAAACGUGAGCCGUAACCACGCUCAUCAUUGCCUAACUUCAAUAUUCCUAAUUCGAUACGGUCCACACUUCAACAUCAAAACCAGCAGCCUUAAAAUAAUCCCCUACAGAUUAAACAACUUUAAUUCAACGGCCGGAUUCUACCCUAAUUAACCGCCAAAAUACCAAACUUUGAAAAAUCUCAGACCUAUCCAAAACUCCUCAAAAAAUUCCAAACUUCACAUGAUUAGUCUCCCUUUAAUAUAACACAUUUAAAACCAUGAAAAUCUCAAUAACAGCGGCGGUGCCGCUGUCUGCUCUGCCAACACCGACGACCUCUAAUGCCUACCAAAUUUUAGCAGCGUCUUCCUCUCAACCCACUCUACAACUUUCCUAACUAGCACAAACACCAAUUCCAAGCCUAACUAGGUCAAUCGGAAAAAAACAUUUCAAGAAACCCUAGAACUUCUACUCACCGAUUCUCCUCACCUGAAGCAAACUGGAUUGAGUCCUUUUAGGGCAAGGCUACUGGGUUGAAGACCUUCAAAACCAUAUAAGGCUUGCCUGGAUUGGUGGCCGGAGGAGGAAGUUCCGGCGACGGAACACCACGAACGACCAGAGCUCUCGGGCGCGAUAUCUCCUUCACGGUGGCGCUAGAGAGGUUGCCACCGGUCCAUGAAGGAAGAGGAGAUGAUGGCCGACCGUUUGGGACCGGUCAAGAAUCUGAACUGGCUCCUCUUCCUAGGUCAAAUCUUUCUGCAAACUAAUCGGCUGCUCUUGCAACACAUGGGAUGGAUCGGCAAUAUACUUGCGAAGCAUGGAUACAUCAAACACAUUAUGUAUCCUGGAUAGUUCUGGAGGCAAAACUAACCGAUAAGCAAGUGAACCGACUCGCUCUAUAAUCUCAUAAGGGCCAAUAUACCUCGGACUAAGCUUCCCACGUUUACCAAAACGUACUACCCCUUUCCAAGGAGAUAGUUUCAAGAACACCCAAUCACCCACUUGAAACUCUAAGUCUUUCCUGCGGACAUUUGCAUAACUCUUCUGCCUACUUUGAAUGGCCUUAAGUCUAUCUUUGACCACUUUAAUCUUUUCAUUUGUAUCAUGGAUUAACUCCGGGCCACAGAGCUCUUUUUUUCCUACUUCAUUCCAACACAAAGGUGUAUGACACUGCUUCCCAUAAAGUGCCUCAAAGGGAGCCAUACCAAUACUAGAAUGGUAGCUGUUGUUGUAUGCAAUUUCCAUCAAAGAUAGAUUCUUAUCCCAACUCCCCCUGAACUGCAUGGCACACGAUCUCAACAUAUCCUCCAAAGUCUAGAUAGUCCUCUCAGAUUGCCCAUCAGUUUGAGGAUGAAAAGUAGUGCUGAAGUGUAAUCAGGUACCUAAAGCUGCCUGAAGAGCUCCCUAGAAUUUAGAAGCAAAUCUAGGAUCUCGAUCCGACACUAUUGAUUUAGGUACACCAUGUAGUCUCACAAUCUCAUUCACAUAAAGUUCCGCCAAUUUAUCUAGCGUAUACUUCUUUCCCACUGGCAAGAAAUGUGCAGAUUUGGUGAGUCUAUCCACAAUCACCCAAACACCGUCAUGCCCAUCACGGGUACGAGGUAAACUGAAAACAAAAUCUAUGGUGAUGUGGCCGGUCCCACUUCCACACUGGAAUGGUCAACGAUUCAAACAAUCUAGAAGGUUUCUGCCUUUCAGCUUUCACUUGUUGACAGAUCAAACAUCUACUCACAAAAUCUGCAAUUUCCCUCUUCAUGUUUGGCCACCAAUAAAAAUCCUUCAAAGUCCGAUACAUUUUUGUACUACCAGGGUGUGCAGCAUAUGCAGAACUAUGGGCUUCUUCCAUUAUCUCCUUCUUUAACUCUUCAUUUCUCUUUGGAACACAAAGUCUAUUUUUGAACAAUAAAGUUCCAUCUCUUCUAACUGAAAAAUCAACGGUGGUUCCACUCAAUGUUCUUUCUAUCAACCGAACUAUGGAAGGGUCAUCAUACUGUGUCUCUCGCACCUUAUCAACCAAAACUGGUCUCACAUGAAAACUAACUACCAAGGCACCAACUUCAUCCACCGCUAAAUCCAUCCAUGUAGCUCGCAACUCAUAAAGAAGUGGAACACGAACCGUCCUCAUGUGAGACAAAGAUAUGGAGGGAUUUCGACUAAGAGCAUCCGUUACUACAUUAGCUUUUCUAGGAUGAUAAAUAGUGCAAUCAUAAUAAUUGUUCAACUCCAUCCACCUUCUCUGUCUCAUAUUUAACUCUCUUUAAGUAAACACAUACCGAAGACUUUUGUGAUCGGUAAAAAUCUGACACUUGGCUCCAUAAAGAUAGUGCCUCCACAACUUGAGAGCAAAUACUACCGUUGCAAGCUCUAGAUCAUAAGUGGGAUAAUUCAUCUCAUGUGGCUUCAAUUGCCUAGAAGCGUAGGCAAUAACUCGAUCAUGUUGCAUCAAUAUUUCGCCUAGACCUCGUCUAGAAGCAUCACAAUAAACCACAUACUUCCCACUAUCAUCCGGAAGUGCCAAAACAGGAGCGCUAGUCAAGCGAUUGUUUAAUUCUUGAAAACUUUGCUCACAUUGAUCUGACCAUUCGAACUUAACUUCCUUCUUGGUCAAUCUUGUAAGUGGAGCAGUAAUCUUUGAAAAAUCUUACACAAAACGUCGAUAAUAACCUGCUAACCCUAAGAAACUGCAAAUCUCCGUCACAGUGGUGGGUCUUCUCUAAUUGGACACUGCUUCCACCUUUUGGGGAUCCACACUAACACCUUCUGCAAAAACUACAUGUCCCAAGAACCCCACUUUAUCCAGCCAAAAUUCACACUUGUUGAAUUAAGCAUACAAUUGAGCAUUUCGUAAAGUAUGCAAUAUCAUUCUUAGAUGUUUGGCAUGCUCCUUCUCACUUCUUGAGUAAACCAAGAUGUCAUCUAUGAAUACGAUCACGAAACGAUCAAGAUAUGGACUAAACACCUUAUUCAUGAGAUGCAUGAACGCAGCGGGUGCAUUAGUAAGUCCUAACGGCAUCACCACAAAUUCAUAAUAACCAUAACGUGAUCGAAAAACAGUCUUAGCUAUGUCACUCUCUCGGAUCCGCAGUUGAUGAUACCCAGAUCUCAAGUCAAUCUUUGAGAAAACAGAAGUACCCCUCAACUGAUCAAAUAGAUCAUCAAUGCGAGGCAACGAAUAUUUAUUCUUCACCGUGACUUGAUUUAGCUUCCUAUAAUCAAUGCAUAGUCUCAUGGUGCCAUCUUUCUUCUUAACAAACAACACUGGAGCACCCCAUGGAGACAUGCUAGGCCAAAUAAAACCCUUGUCUACCAACUCCUGCAGUUGAGUCUUCAACUCUUUCAAUUCCGCUGGAGCCAUUAUGUAAGGUGUUUAUGAGAUAUGUAUAGUUCCGGGAAGUAACUCAAUAGAAAAGUCUACCUCCCUUACAGUAGGCAAACUAGACAACUCCUCGGGAAAAACAUCCGGAAACUCCUUUACUACAGGAAUAUCCUUUACUCCCAAAACUCCCACACUUGUAUCCACAAUAUGAGCUAAAAACGCCUGACAACCUUUGUAAUAUCCCAUAUCGGCCAAACGGAGAGGGGUUAUGUGCUGUAUAUGUACAUGCCCACCUCCAAUCUAAUACGAGGCCUUUUGGUGGCUCAGCGGCUUCGGAGGGGAUGGGUACUCCGAGAUUAAGCAUGAUGAUGCUAGAGCAAUCCCAAGAUGGGUGACCUACUGGGAAGCUGCUCCUGAGCUGCCGGAAACAAAACCGUGAGGGCCGGUGGGCCCAAAGCGGACAAUUUCGUGUUACGGCGGAAUAGUUCCUGGGAUGUGACAAAUGGUAUCAGAGCCACUCUGCCGUGUGGUGCGAGUGUGCCGACGAGGGCGUCGGACUCCCAAGGGGGGUGGAUUGUAAUAUCCCACAUCGGUCAAAUGGAGAGGGGUUAUGUGCUGUAUAUGUACAUGCCUACCUCUAAUCUAAUACGAGGCCUUUUGGUGGCUCAGCGGCUUCGGAGGGGAUGGGUACUCCGAGGUUAAGCAUGAUGAUGCUAGAGCAAUCCCAGGAUGGGUGACCUACUGGGAAGCUGCUCCUGAGCUACCGGAAACAAAACCGUGAGGGCCAGUGGGCCCAAAGCGGACAAUUUCAUGUUACGGCGGAAUGGGUUCUGGGAUGUGACAACCUUUAUUUAACAAUUUCCUAGUAGCAACGGCUGAUAUCAGGCAACUCGAAAUAACAUCUCUUUCCCCUUGAAAUGUAACCUCCGAUCCUUCUGGACUUCGAAACACCACUACUUUUCAGAAACAAUCUACCAUAGUUCUAUAAGCCUCCAAAAAGUCUAUUCCCAAGAUCACAUCAAACUCCACUAUAUCUAAAGGAAUUAGAUUAGCAUUAAACUUAAAUCCCUCCCCAGCCACUAAACACCCAAUUUAUUCUCAUUACCUCUCUGGAGGGUAGAGACACAUGCCACUCGCCUGGAAGGGACGAUGAUGGCACAUUGGCGUGGAGGGCAAAUCUACUAGACAUAAAUGAAUGCGUGGCUCCAGGAUCAAUUAAAGUAAAUGCAAGCUGACCAAAAAAUAAUAACGUACCAAUGAUAACCUCUAGAGAAGUACGACCCUCCUGCUGGGUCAUAGUAUGAAGUCUAGCGCGAGACAUGGGACAUCCACGCUGACCACCACCUUGCUGAGAGCCACCCCUGGCCGCUACACUGCCCUGAGUACCACUAUUGGAGCCUUUGGCUAAAGACUGACCAACUGGAUGAGUAUGGGUGGGGGUGGUCCUCUGAGCCAACAAUGGAUAAUCUCUCCUGAAGUGGUCCUGACUACCACACUCAUAGCACCUAGUAAACUGCUGCUGUCCAUAAGAAAAAGUUUGACCACCAGAUGUCCCACCCUGGAAGCUGCCACCAGUACCAAAUUGUCCAAUCUGCUGUCUACCCAACUAACUCUGGAAAGGUCUCCUGAAAUGUCCUCUAGUCCUAUUCUGAGCACCAGAGCUCGAUCCAUUGCUAUUUCCACUACCAGCAGAAGACCCAGAAGCAGAUGAGGAAGCGGUUUUCUUGGAUGAACCCUGACUAGGACCGCUGAAAUUUCGGGGCCGAGCACUAUGUGUCCCAAUGGUCUCAAUAGCCAUAGCUGCACUAACCACAUCAAGAAAGGUCGGGUACACUACCCCUAUCAUCUUAUCAGCAUAAACACCACCAAGUGCCCCAAUGAACAUCCCAAUCUUGGUCCUCUCAUUAAGAACCAGAUAUGACACAUGAUAGCUCAGGGUAGUGAAUCUCUGCUCGAACUCUAUGACACCCUCAUCAUCCCUAUUCUUCAUGUUCAGGAAAUCCGACUGAAUCCUGCUACGAUGAGCAUGACUGAAAUACUGCCCCAAGAAGAGUGUCUUAAACUGCUCCCAUGUCAUAUCCUGAGCACCCUCAAUAUCCCUGAUGGCAAGUGACCACCAAUGAUACACUGAAUCAUCUAGAAACGUCACCGCCAUAUCCACCUUCUUUUCUUCCGGGAUAUCAGUACUCCUAAAACCUUUUUCCAUCUUACCUACCCAAGUGUAUGCAUCAAGGGGUCCCUUGGCACCCUUGAACUCAAUUGCCCCAGCCUCGAAAACAUCCCUCUUCUUCACAGUCCGAGGGUUCUGAACUUUAUCUAAAACACCCCUCAGCAUAUUCCCAAUAGAAUCCACUAAUCCCCUGAGGAAGAAGAUUGGCGUUGGUCGAAUUAGCUACCCGGGGUUGGCGUCUAGGAGGCAUAGUACCUGAGGAAGAAGAUAUUUAGUAGUCUAUAAACAAGACUAACAGAACUAUCACACAUACCCAAUAACAUAUAGCAUCCAAAGCAUAAACUGCCAAUGAAUCCGCCGCGGUCGGAUCACCACUCUAUAGACACUACGUGCUACUUAGGCAAAUAUGAUAAUAAUAAGGAGGCAGGAAAUAAAACCUAAAGCUUUAAUACCAACUGUCAGGACUCACCCCGAAUUUCACCCUGAAACCUAAAGUCAAUCCUGCGGGGUUCACCUCCAAGGAAAAUUUAUCGAAAAAGUUUAGCAUAACUUCCCUUGAAAGUUGACAACCCUUACCUGAAAAAUUCAGAAUACACUCCUAUAACGAAACAACCAUCCUCAACUUCUAGAGCCACCCGCUCCCCACAAACACAACCACCACAAUAAAACAAUAAAACCAUCCCCCAAUUCAUCACAUAAAUAUCCAACUAAAAUAACAAACUGCAUCCUUCGAAUAUUCUAAAAUGUAAUCAUAAGCCUUAGCACACAACCGAAUGAAUUUCAUUUACAUUCAUCAGAUUCCUUAUAUGAAUUCUAUGAAAAAAUAAGAAAGAGAUAGAAAUUCAUACAAGGCUACGACUCUUACAUCUAGUCUAACGCUCACGUCGCAUCAUAAUGAAACUUUAUCUCAUUAUGACGGAACAAGAUGGGUGUAUAUACAUGCAGAUCCCCUAUAUGAAAACCUAUACGAAAAUAUAAGAAAAUAGUUUUCAUAUAGGGCUACGAUGCUUGCGUCUAACGCUCACGUCGCGCCAUAAUAAAAUUUUACUUCAUUAUGACGGAACAAGCACGUAUGACUAGCUAGCAUUUAUUAUACAUGCUAUCCUCAUAAUAUCCAAAUACAUAUUAACCAAAAAUCUCAUUUUUGGUAAGUCUCAAAAAUGAUGAAAAUUGUCAAAUAUCCGAAAAAGCAAUAAAUCCCAGCAGAAGAAUAACUGAUCAACAAAAUAAUGCAUCGCAUGCUUUUAAAUUAAAACCAAGUCCACGCACAAAUUAGGCCUAAGCCUGAUGUCGAUCUGAGACCUCAUCUGCUCGAGCCUCCUCACGUCAUGUUCUAAAUAUAUAAUUAAAUUCCCAACCAAAAAUCUAAUAUUUAUACAAAAUAGGCGAAAUUAAACGUGAGCCGUAACCACGCUCAUUAUUGCCUAAUUAACCACCAAAAUACCAAACUUUGAAAAAUCUCAAACCUAUCCAAAACUCCUCCAAAAAUUCCAAACUUCACAUGAUUAGUCUCCCUUUAAUAUAACACAUUUCAAACCAUGAAAAUCUCCCUAACAGCGGCGGUGCUGACGUCUACUCUACCGGCAGCGGCGACCGGCACCGGUGACCUCUAAUGCCUACCAAAUUUUAGCAGCAUUUUCCUCUCAACCCACUAUACAACUUUCCUAACUAGCACAAACACCAAUUCCAAGCCUAACUAGAUCAAUCGAACAAAAACAUUUCAAGAAACACUAGAACUUCUACUCACCGAUUCUCCUCACCUGAAGCAAACUGGAUUGAGUCCUUUUAGGGCAAGGCUACUGGGUUGAAGACCUUCAAAACCAUAUAAGGCUUGCCCGGAUUGGUGGCCUGAGGAGGAAGUUCCGGCGACGGAACACCACGGACGACCAGAGCUGUCAGGACCUACCCCGGAUUUCCCCUUGAAAUCCGGAAUAAACCCUGCGGGACCCACCUCAAGGGAAAUUCUACCAAAAUUUUGGCAUAACUUCCCUUGAAAAUGAGUAACCCUACCUAGAAGAAAAAAAUCACCAAAACCCAAACACUUCUAAAACAAUUCAAUCCACGUCUUCUGCAGCCAUCCGCUCCUCCAAAUAAACAUCCACCACCUCAACCAACAUAAUAAAUCGAAAUAAUUUCAUGAAUUUAAUCCCUCAUAUAACAUGCCAAAUAAACCUUUUUCAACACUCAUAGGUGGAGUCAUAAGCUCUUAACUCGCAACAUUAACAACAACAACAACACUUAAAACAUCCCAAGGUUAUCAGAGCAAC
This 7833-nucleotide long non-coding RNA is filed under the name Fragaria vesca (wild strawberry). RNAcentral's name for it is "long non-coding RNA (FVES_LNC005478)". Lineage: Eukaryota; Viridiplantae; Streptophyta; Magnoliopsida; Rosales; Rosaceae. The record is from RNAcentral.